AAAUGGCCGCUGCCCCGCAGGGUGCUGGUCACGUGACGGCAUGUAUGGGGCGUGGCCUGUGUCACGUGGCUCGUCGGCACCGCCCAUUAAGAGCUGGCCGUGGUACCGCUCCACUCGCCAUCGUCGCCUGCAUUGGUUCAUUCAGGCAAGUUGCGGGGAGAGUUUGCGCCCCCCGCACCACAGAACAGCAAGUGCCAAGGUUCGGAGGCCGGAGUAGCGGGCAUCCAGGCAGAAGUUGAAAUGACUGAAGUCCUGCGAGUCCUUACGUCUUCUGUGAAAAUUAAAGGAAUAUGAAGUUCAAAAAGUGGCCAAAACUGAAGGAUGAUAACAGAUCUCGGGGUAUGGGAAGAUCAGACCUGCCCUCAGUCCAUGCCCCUGGGUCUCUGCAUAGGGUAGCUCACAACCUGGCAGCUGGCUUCUUCAUCAAAGUGAACAAGAUUGACUGGCUGUGUAGCUUACUGUCACUGCCUCAUCCCUUUGAGAGGAUUGGACCACCUGUCACCCAUUCAGGAAAAAUUCCAAUUGCAAAAUUCAAAAAACAUUAUCUAUGAAUGUAUAUCACUUUUGCACCAUCAUAAAAUUGAAAGAUCAUAAGUUGAA
Molecule: non-coding RNA, 600 nt
Organism: Ictidomys tridecemlineatus (thirteen-lined ground squirrel)
Lineage: Eukaryota; Metazoa; Chordata; Mammalia; Rodentia; Sciuridae
Source: RefSeq, a predicted model, not a curated record